AACGCACAUUGCGCCCUUUGGCAUUCCGAAGGGCAUGCCCGUUCGAGCGUCAUUACACCACUCAAGCCUGGCUUGGUAUUGGGCGGCGGGACACCCCCCGCGCCCCUAAUUCUCCGGCUGGACGGUUCGAAUCUCAGCGUUGUGGUUUCAUCAAAUCGCUGGCGAGGACGACCGGGCGCGCCGUUAAACCCACCAUCAAAGGUUGACCUCGGAUCGGGUAGGGAUACCCGCUGAACUUAA
Molecule: unclassified non-coding RNA, 240 nt
Filed under: uncultured fungus
Lineage: Eukaryota; Fungi
Description: partial contains 5.8S ribosomal RNA, internal transcribed spacer 2, and large subunit ribosomal RNA
Source: RNAcentral